AGAGUUUGAUCCUGGCUCAGAAUCAACGCUGGCGGCGUGCCUAACACAUGCAAGUCGAACGCGAAAGCCCGCAAGGGUAAGUAGAGUGGCGCACGGGUGAGUAACACGUGGACAACCUGCCUUCGAGUGGGGAAUAACCUUCCGAAAGGAGGGCUAAUACCGCAUAACACCUCGGGACACAGGUUCUGGGGUUAAAAAGAGCAAUUUGCUCGAAGAGGGGUCCGCGCCUGAUUAGCUAGUUGGUGAGGUAACGGCUCACCAAGGCUUCGAUCAGUAGCCGUCCUGAGAGGGAGCACGGCCACACUGGAACUGAGACACGGUCCAGACUCCUACGGGAGGCAGCAGUGGGGAAUUUUUGGCAAUGGGCGAAAGCCUGACCAAGCAACGCCGCGUGGGUGAUGAAGUAUCUUGGUACGUAAAACCCUUUCGGCAGGGACGAACCUAAUGACGGUACCUGCGAAGA
Molecule: ribosomal RNA, 463 nt
Filed under: uncultured Acidobacteriaceae bacterium
Lineage: Bacteria; Pseudomonadati; Acidobacteriota; Terriglobia; Terriglobales; Acidobacteriaceae
Description: bacterial SSU rRNA
Rfam family: Bacterial small subunit ribosomal RNA
Source: RNAcentral